CUUGGCACCCUCUCGGAAUCACAAAGAAUAUCAGUGAAGAUUUGCUUGCUGUCUUCAUUGAAGGUGCAGUACAUUGUGCAGACGUGUACGAACAAAAGAAUACUGAUUCAGCUGAACUAAUUCAAGCACGAGAAAAAAUCUUCCAGAUUCUACAAAAAUGGCUAAAGCAAUAGAUGUCUCUGAAAAAUAAAUGCAACAGAACCUGAAA
Loxodonta africana (African savanna elephant) is the source of this 208-nucleotide long non-coding RNA. RefSeq lists it as uncharacterized. NCBI's taxonomy places the organism in Eukaryota, Metazoa, Chordata, Mammalia, Proboscidea, Elephantidae. The record is from RefSeq and is a predicted model, not a curated record. The transcript is spliced from 2 exons.